UACGGGGGGGGCAAGCGUUGUUCGGAAUUACUGGGCGUAAAGGGCUCGUAGGCGGCCAACUAAGUCGGACGUGAAAUCCCCAGGCUCAACCUGGGAACUGCGUCCGAUACUGGAUGGCUUGAAUCCGGGAGAGGGAUGCAGAAUUCCAGGUGUAGCGGUGAAAUGCGUAGAUAUCUGGAGGAAUACCGGUGGCGAAGGCGGCAGCCUGGACCGGCAUUGACGCUGAGGAGCGAAAGCCAGGGGAGCAAACGGG
This 253-nucleotide ribosomal RNA is filed under the name uncultured bacterium. RNAcentral's name for it is "partial 16S ribosomal RNA". It matches the Rfam family "Bacterial small subunit ribosomal RNA", at positions 524 to 776 of the family's 1533-position model. The record is from RNAcentral.